Molecule: ribosomal RNA, 565 nt
Filed under: uncultured bacterium
Lineage: Bacteria
Description: partial 16S ribosomal RNA
Rfam family: Bacterial small subunit ribosomal RNA
Source: RNAcentral
AGAGUUUGAUCCUGGCUCAGGAUUAACGCUAGACGGCAGGCCUAAUACAUGCAAGUCGAACGGCAGCACGGGUAGCAAUACCUGGUGGCGAGUGGCGCACGGGUGCGUAACGCGUAUGCAAUCUACCUUUAACUGAGGGAAUAACCCCUCGAACAGAGGGGCUAAUACCGCCAUAGGCGACUUCGAUCGGGACAUCCCAUAUGAAGUCAAACCUACGCGGGGUUACACACGAUGAGCAUGCGAUCCGCAUCUAGCUGAAGUCUGGCGUGGGUAACGGCGCGCCAGCCAGAGGCAUAACGAUCAGUAGUGGGAUCUUGACGACGGAUGAUCCCCCCACACUGGUACUGAGACACGGGACUCCCCGACUCCUACCUGGAGGCAGUCUUGACAAGUGACUAAUUCGGACCAAUGUGGCUGCCAGGCCCUGAAUUGCGGGCCGGAGCCCGGGCUUUGCCNCGAAUGUANGGUUGGCUUUUGUUCCACCUGUUCUGGCUGGCUUUAUCAGUUUGGGGAAUUCUGGGCUCCCAUGCUUUUUCUUUUGCGCGGGUCUGAUGGGUAUCCUNAA